RNAcentral lists this transfer RNA (76 nucleotides) under Vibrio sp. 03_296. RNAcentral's name for it is "tRNA-Gln". The record is from RNAcentral. Lineage: Bacteria; Pseudomonadati; Pseudomonadota; Gammaproteobacteria; Vibrionales; Vibrionaceae.
CGGUGAAUAGCGCAGCUUGUAGCGCAUCGUGGUUUGGGCAUAGGGUCGGGGGGUUCCGAAUCCCUCUUCACGACCA